AGAGUUUGAUCAUGGCUCAGAACGAACGCUGGCGGCAUGCCUAACACAUGCAAGUCGAACGAACCCUUCGGGGUUAGUGGCGCACGGGUGCGUAACGCGUGGGAAUCUGCCCUUUGCUUCGGAAUAACAGUUAGAAAUGACUGCUAAUACCGGAUGAUGUCUUCGGACCAAAGAUUUAUCGGCAAGGGAUGGGCCCGCGUAGGAUUAGGUAGUUGGUGGGGUAAAGGCCUACCAAGCCGACGACCCUUAGCUGGUCUGAGAGGACGACCAGCCACACUGGGACUGAGACACGGCCCAGACUCCUACGGGAGGCAGCAGUGGGGAAUUUUGGACAAUGGGCGCAAGCCUGAUCCAGCAAUGCCGCGUGCAGGAAGAAGGCCUUCGGGUUGUAAACUGCUUUUGUACGGAACGAAACGGUCUGGGUUAAUACCCUGGGCUAAUGACGGUACCGUAAGAAUAAGCACCGGCUAACUACGUGCCAGCAGCCGCGGUAAUACGUA
This 500-nucleotide ribosomal RNA is filed under the name uncultured bacterium. RNAcentral describes it as "bacterial SSU rRNA". It matches the Rfam family "Bacterial small subunit ribosomal RNA", at positions 8 to 529 of the family's 1533-position model. The record is from RNAcentral.